UAAUAGCUCACUGGUCGAGUGACUCUGCGCCGAAAAUGUACCGGGGCUAAACGUAUCACCGAAGCUGCGGAUUGUUCUUACGAACAAUGGUAGGAGAGCGUUCAAAGUGCAGUGAAGUCAGACCGUGAGGACUGGUGGAGCGCUUUGAAGUGAGAAUGCCGGUAUGAGUAGCGAAAAAAGAGUGAGAAUCUCUUUCACCGAAAGCCUAAGGUUUCCUGAGGAAGGCUCGUCCUCUCAGGGUUAGUCGGGACCUAAGCCGAGGCCGAAAGGCGUAGGCGAUGGACAACAGGUAGAUAUUCCUGUACCACCUCAUGAGUGUUUGAACGAUGGGGGGACGCAGUAGGAUAAGGAAUGCGCACCGAUGGAAGUGUGCGCCCAAGCAGUGAGAAAGUCGGAUAGGCAAAUCCGUCCGAUAAUUUCAAGCUGUGACGGGGAGGGAAAUAGAGUACCGAAGUUCCGGAUUUCACACUGCCAAGAAAAGCCUCUAGUAAGUUCAUAGGUGCCCGUACCGCAAACCGACACAGGUAGGCGAGGAGAGAAUCCUAAGGUGAGCGGGAGAACUCUCGUUAAGGAACUCGGCAAAAUGACCCCGUAACUUCGGGAGAAGGGGUGCUCCUUUAAGGAGGAGCCGCAGUGAAUAGGCCCAAGCGACUGUUUAGCAAAAACACAGGUCUCUGCGAAGCCGAAAGGCGAAGUAUAGGGGCUGACACCUGCCCGGUGCUGGAAGGUUAAGGGGAAACGUUAGUGCUUCGGCACGAAGCGUAGAACCGAAGCCCCAGUAAACGGCGGCCGUAACUAUAACGGUCCUAAGGUAGCGAAAUUCCUUGUCGGGUAAGUUCC
Molecule: ribosomal RNA, 840 nt
Filed under: bacterium 1XD42-44
Lineage: Bacteria
Description: bacterial LSU rRNA
Rfam family: Bacterial large subunit ribosomal RNA
Source: RNAcentral